Molecule: non-coding RNA, 1026 nt
Organism: Theobroma umbraticum
Lineage: Eukaryota; Viridiplantae; Streptophyta; Magnoliopsida; Malvales; Malvaceae
Source: RefSeq, a predicted model, not a curated record
UAAAAUUGGAACGAUACAGAGAAGAUUAGCAUGGCCCCUGCGCAAGGAUGACACGCACAAAUCGAGAAAUGGUCCAAAUUUUUUUUCGAGGAUUUUUGCAUCUGUUUCCACCUCUUUCCCUGUUUCCUUUAGCUAAACAACUGAUAAAGAGGCUCAUGGUAGUUUAAAUUCAGAUAGGUCUGGCUUAGUUGAUCUGUUUUCAGUGAUUUGCAGGUGGUCAAUUCUCUGGUCAUGCCAAAAUUUUUUGCUUUCCCUGGAUAUGAAAGGGCAUGGCUGAUCCUAUGCACGAUGCGUUCUUCUACAAACGGAAGCAGUAGCUGCUAUAUAUAAACUCCCACUCUUUGGGUGUUUAAUUUUCCUUGGUAGAAUCUGAAUAUCUGAUAUAGGAAAUGACUUCUCUUAUUAAUCUAAGUACCCUUUCUUUUGGUUGAGAUUGUGCGUGAAUUAGUAUGUUCUUGACUCCUGAGCUGAAUUCUUAUGAAUAGUGCUUAGUUGCUUAUAUUUGCUAGUCAUUGGUGCUUGUCUCCUGUCAUUUUAUGCUAUACAGCACAAGGACGAUUCAAGGAAAUGAUGUAUUAUGGAAACAGAGAAGUGCCCCAAAUUGAUCAUGUCUUCUGCAGCUAAAUCCAUUGUAUCAACGAUUCUUACAAUCAUGGUGAAUCCUCUGAAAUAAAUUUUGCUGCAUAAUGGAACUUUUCUACCUCUUGGGUGUAAGCUGCAGUUGUUUUAGUGCAUCAACGCAUUCAGUUUAUCAGGCUUGAUUAUUAAUCACCCAAGGAGAGGAUGCCAUUGAUUAGUCUGCAUCAAGAGAAAGCAGCCAGACAAAAUUUCCUCAUGGAGAAGGCAAAGUUUCCUCUUUCUUCUUUUGAACAAAGCAUUGUUUAUCAAGUGAGCUAUGUUGGGAUCCAUUAUUUUGCUUCCUGAGAAAGAAUGUGCUGCUGUUCACAUAGAUCAAGGUUGUAUGAUAUGCCUUACAGCAAAUGUUGUCCCAUAGUUAUAGCUUAUACAUGAAGUUUGUUGUUUCUA